Molecule: long non-coding RNA, 132 nt
Organism: Ochotona curzoniae (black-lipped pika)
Lineage: Eukaryota; Metazoa; Chordata; Mammalia; Lagomorpha; Ochotonidae
Exons: 2
Source: RefSeq, a predicted model, not a curated record
ACCAGCAUGCAUUUAUAGAACAUCAAUAAAAUAAGGACAUGGAUCUAACAAAACUCAAAUGACUGGAAAUCUCUGCUUCCCUUGGUAUUCUCUAGGAAUUGAGCAAGUUCCUGGAGUCCUGCUUCCUUCAGG